Long non-coding RNA from Lutra lutra (Eurasian river otter), 644 nucleotides. RefSeq lists it as uncharacterized. The record is from RefSeq and is a predicted model, not a curated record. NCBI's taxonomy places the organism in Eukaryota, Metazoa, Chordata, Mammalia, Carnivora, Mustelidae. The transcript has 3 exons.
CAGGCCUCCUGCAGGGCAGGGAGCCAGAUGCGGGGCUCGAUCCCAGGACCCUGGGAUCAUGACCCAGGCCAAGGACAGUUGCUUAACGACUGAGCCACCCAGGUAUGCCUCAUCAUGGGACUUCAGAGAGAAGGGUGCCUUGACCAGUGGUUUCCAGAUGGCUAAGCGUACGUUUUGGGUUUGUGCAAAUAUGUACUCCUGUGUGAACACCAUUCCAGUAAAGAUACAACGUAUUUCCAGCACCCCAGAACUUUCCAGUGUCUUUCUGGUUUGUGCCUCUCCUAGAGACAACCACCGUUGAGGAAACCUUAUCCUCGCCUUCCAGGAGCCAGAUCGCCAGAUGAGGGCUCCCCGGAAACAGCCACACCCAGACACUGAGCCUGCGGGCUUUCCUCCUCCCUCCUGUUGGUCCAUCUGAAGCUGGUCCCUCAGGGGGGGCGGGGGGGGGGGGCCCAGGGCUCUGCCUCCCACCCCUGCCGCCUUCUUGGGGCCCAAGGGUUCACCGAGACCCUUACUGCUCCUUCAACUUGCUCCUUCUCAACCACGUCUCCUUGUCUUUAAAAGAAGUCCUCUGGGGGCACCUGGGUGGCUCAGUGGGUUGAGCCUCUGCCUUCGGCUCAGGUCAUGAUCCCAGAGUCAAGGGA